CCUACGGGAGGCAGCAGUGGGGAAUAUUGCACAAUGGGGGAAACCCUGAUGCAGCGACGCCGCGUGAGUGAAGAAGUAAUUCGUUAUGUAAAGCUCUAUCAGCAGGGAAGAAAAAGACGGUACCUGAGUCAGAAGCCACGGCUAACUACGUGCCAGAAGCCGCGGUAAUACGGAGGGGGCAAGCGUUAUCCGGAUUUACUGGGUGUAAAGGGAGCGUAGACGGCAGUGCAAGUCUGGAGUGAAAGGCGGGGGCUCAACCCCCGGACUGCUCUGGAAACUGUACGGCUGGAGUGCAGGAGAGGUAAGUGGAAUUCCUGGUGUAGCGGUGAAAUGCGUAGAUAUUAGGAAGAACACCAGUGGCGAAGGCGGCUUACUGGACUGUAACUGACGUUGAUGCUCGAAAGCGUGGGUAGCAAACAGGAUUAGAUACCCUGGUAGUC
RNAcentral lists this ribosomal RNA (440 nucleotides) under uncultured bacterium. RNAcentral's name for it is "partial 16S ribosomal RNA". It matches the Rfam family "Bacterial small subunit ribosomal RNA", at positions 338 to 795 of the family's 1533-position model. The record is from RNAcentral.